GGGUCACAUGGAGUAACGGCGGACGUGAAAGACGACCUUCGUAAAAGGAGAAGCACUUCCCUGGGGGAAACCCUUAAAACUGCCCUUUGAUGCCCUGACACGGACGCUGCUUGCAUGGCGGGGUAAUGUGCCUAUCCCCGUUUCAUAUGCCAGGGCAAAGCAGAUUAGACGGCACCCGACAAGACACCUGUACGGAGGGCGAACAAAACCUU
Molecule: small RNA, 212 nt
Filed under: bovine gut metagenome
Description: RT-2 RNA
Rfam family: RT-2 RNA
About the family: Coriobacteriales (Actinobacteria), Clostridiales (Firmicutes). Downstream gene
Source: RNAcentral